This 497-nucleotide ribosomal RNA is filed under the name uncultured bacterium. RNAcentral's name for it is "partial 16S ribosomal RNA". It matches the Rfam family "Bacterial small subunit ribosomal RNA", at positions 28 to 507 of the family's 1533-position model. The record is from RNAcentral.
GAUGAACGCUGGCGGCGUGCCUAAUACAUGCAAGUCGAGCGAACAGACGAGGAGCUUGCUCCUCUGACGUUAGCGGCGGACGGGUGAGUAACACGUGGAUAACCUACCUAUAAGACUGGGAUAACUUCGGGAAACCGGAGCUAAUACCGGAUAAUAUAUUGAACCGCAUGGUUCAAUAGUGAAAGACGGUUUUGCUGUCACUUAUAGAUGGAUCCGCGCCGCAUUAGCUAGUUGGUAAGGUAACGGCUUACCAAGGCAACGAUGCGUAGCCGACCUGAGAGGGUGAUCGGCCAGACUGGAACUGAGACACGGUCCAGACUCCUACGGGAGGAAGCAGUAGGGAAUCUUCCGCAAUGGGCGAAAGCCUGACGGAGCAACGCCGCGUGAGUGAUGAAGGUCUUCGGAUCGUAAAACUCUGUUAUUAGGGAAGAACAAAUGUGUAAGUAACUAUGCACGUCUUGACGGUACCUAAUCAGAAAGCCACGGCUAACUACGUG